Long non-coding RNA from Cornus florida, 5479 nucleotides. RefSeq lists it as uncharacterized. The record is from RefSeq and is a predicted model, not a curated record. Lineage: Eukaryota; Viridiplantae; Streptophyta; Magnoliopsida; Cornales; Cornaceae. The transcript has 4 exons.
AAUUCAGCCUAAAAAGGGCCCAAUUCCCAGAGGCAAAUAAGAAAGGCGUUUAUGACAGGACCAAACAGAGCCGUUAUCAGAGGCUAUUUUCAGUCCGUCCGGCGAAGAAGCCAUGGAAUCAGAGCACAAGGCUGUCAAAAACGUCAAUGAGGAGGCCGAGGUGGAGGUCUGCAGCACGACGGAGAAACACCCCAAUCGUGAAGGAUAGACGUGGAGGAAGGGCAUGCCUUUAGAAACCCUAAUUUCUAGGGUUGAAGUGAUGGGGAGCUUCCUUGGAAAAAUUCUCUGUGAUUUGGAUGUGAUCAACGGAAUUAGUGAUUGGAUGAGCAAAUGUGCAAUUGAAGAAAAGAUGCGAGUGUGAUUGAGGCAUCGAUUGACACAGAGAGCAAAUGUUCUGAAUUUGAUGGUGAUAUGUAGCUACAAGUGUGCUUGAGAGUUUAGAUGGAAGGCCGAUGGAGAAACAGACCAAACAAGCAUGUCAUUGAUGGAAGAGCUCCGGAAUAGAGGUAGCCAAGCAAUAGGGAAAAGAUCAUUAGUUAUCAAGCCAGUAGGAAGUGGCAUUGCCAUUGCCGAUCUUGUGUUAUCAAGCCAGUAGGAAGUGGCAUUGCCAUUGCCGAUCUUGUGUUUGAUGAUUUGUCGUGCAGGUUGCCAGCUCGAAGAACAUGAGUGAGGAAUCUUCAAGCUCCAGAGACUCUUAUCUUUAAUCAGGCAAGUCUUGCACUAUUUUUUUCCCUUCGAAUUGUUAUUUUGCCAGAUAAUAAUCACUUUAUUUUCUCCAGUUCUUCUGGGCAGAUUUUGGAGGUUUAUAUUUUUCUGCCAGUCAGUUUUAUUUGAAACGCAUUUGUGAGACGGAUCUGGGAAUUGUGUCUCAGUGCUGUUUGACAUGUAUACAAAAUUAGUAAGCAAAAUCUUGCAAAUGUGGCUAUGAAGAUUAGUGUAAAUUAUAUUGACCUUCAAAAUAGACUAAUUUUUUAGAAUAACAUGGAUGUCCCUAUCUAAUAUGUCAUUAUAGCAUCCAAUUAGAAUGAUGUCUUCGUUUAAAAAAUUAUGAAUAUAAUUUUGUUCUUAAGACGUAAAUUACACUGUUGUUUUUGCGCUAAUGCUAUCAAGUCAUUUUGUAUGACUUAAAUUUUUUAAUUUCACGAUUUAGGUAAUUUAACUUAAAUAUGCUUUAAUUAUAAAAAAUAAAAAAUAAAAAAUAAAAAAAUAAAAAUAAAAACAAACCCUGGAACUGUGGUAUCAAACCAAAUCAGACCAUUUUCUCACGCCUUGGUUUAGUUCAGUUCAGUUUUAUUGAUUUUACGGUUUGAUUUGAUUUCAAUUUUUAUGAAACUGUCAAGAGCGAUUUGAAUUUAAAAUAAUUCUAAAUCAGUCCAAUCCGAACCGUGUGCAACACCCUAGUUGUUGAGAAAAUGAGAGUGAGUGUGCCACAUAGCAUAUUACUCCCACAUUUUUAAGGAAGAUAACGCUUGUGGAUAAAGAAGUAUAAAUUAAGGCCCUUUCACUAUUAGUAUUACUCCCCCAGCUGAUAGAUUGGACAUCAAUGGCUACUUCAACACUCUUACCAUCUUCAACUCUCUGUUCCAUUUCCACAACCAAAUCUACUACCCCUUCUUCUUCUUCUUUGAUCCUUCCAAUUCUUCAAAUUUCUCAAUUUCAAAGUCAUGGAAACAUUGCCUGUCGUUACCCUAAUUUAUCACUAUUCACUAGUCAACAAGUUGACAAAAUCAAGAACCAUUGUUAGGUCAGUAGCAGAGGAACCCUAAUUCCAGAAGAUGCAGAGCAGAACACUGCUACCAUAGAAGGAGAAGAAGCGCCCACCACUGACCAGACAGUUUCCGUUCCAGUCUCGCCUUCCGACAUACUAAACAUGUUCUUUCAGGUACUAAUAUGCCACCAAAUGUCUCUGUGUGAGUGUGUGAACUUCAACUUGGAAUUUUGGUAAUUUGUAUGUCUUGCUUAUGAGAAAUUCUGAUUAGUAUGUGCAUGUUGAUGGUUUGAGUAGUGAACACCUCAAUUUUGCUCUAUGCCCAAUGAAUUAUUUGUUACUUUAACAAAAUCAUUUAUUAGUCAUCAACUGGAUAAAUUUUUACGAAAAAUGCUGCAACUUUGAAUAAAAUUUAAGCAUUAUCUUAAUUUUGUCUAUAAUUAUUGUAUAUGGCAUUACACAAAUUUUUAUUGAACUAUGUAAAAUUUAUUGAAAAUGAAAAGUGAUGGCUGUUAAUUCUGUUAAUUGGGAGGGGAGAGUAGUGAACACCUCAAUCGAACCAUGGAUUCCAUGAAAACAAGGACAUGAAUGGCAUUUUUUUCCCCUGCGGGAAGAAAAUAUAUUGAAGGAAAGAAAUAAUGUACAUGGAAAGAAAUAAUGUACUGUAGUGAAGGCAUACCUUUACAAUAGAAAAGAAAUACAAUGUUAAAGCAACAUUUUCAAUAGCAAUGGAAAAUGGAGACAAAAUGGAUGUUUUACUCUUCAGGACAUGUAUAGCAUUUACUAUUUCUAUUACAAGGGAAAAAUGAUAAUGCUCACAUUAUUUCACUACUCUUAACGCCUCAAAUACGAGGCAUUUGUGGUAUCGUUAUAAUAAUUAAGUGAUAAUAACAUAUUUGGUUGUUUUUCCUUUGAUUCAUAGUCAUCUAUUUGGUGAUUUGAAAAAGUUUUAAAAAAUACUUAAUUUAGUUUUGAAUCAUUAAAUACUCUGUACUUGAAUCCUUCUGUACUUUUCCAUACAUUGAUUUGUUUUCUUGAAGACCUCACAAUCCUAAUUUAUUAUAUGAUCUUGGGAGUCAUGAAUGAAAAUUAUGUGCUUUUAUAUCACUUACAUCCUUAACUUUCUGAAUAUCAAGGCGGACACUAAAUGAGGCCGGUAUUCCUAUAGUGACCAAGGCUUUAGAGGUACAUCUAUCUUUGAUCUUCAAAUUGUCUCAUGUUUUGAACUUUUCAAACGCGUAAGUAUUUCCCUUCCUAUUCCCUUUUUUAAAAAAAAUUCUGUUAGAUUUUGUGUGCAGUUUUAAGCUCACCAUCUUCAUGGUGAAAUCUCCCAAUUCUCACUAUUGUAUCAUUGUUGGCUCUCCAUGUUCGUUUGGUUGGUCAGUUAAAAAAAGUUCCUUUUGCAAUGUAAUGAGUUACUGUUCUAUCUCAUUUAGGGUAUCUCAAAUGUUUUCUUGUGUGCGAAAUCCUCUAAUAUUGUCUGUCACAUUGUAUAAUAAUUCACUAUGUUUUACUUUUUAACCUUUGCAAUUGUAUAUUCAUUUACUAUUUUGCAGGAAGCAGAGGGCAUUACAAAUUUAAAAGUUCAAGUCCUUGAGGGUUAUUGCUAGUGUUGAGUUAACAAAACAGACGACUGUACAAGCAGCAGGGGUAGCUUCCAGUUUAGUUGAGAUCAUACAAGGUUCAGGCUUCAAGUUGCAAACAUUGAAUUUGAGUUUUGAGGAUGAAGAAGACAUCAACUAGACUUCAUGUGCUGGUUUAGUUGUUUGAGCAAAAAAAAAAAAUGUUUGAAACUCCUCCCAAGAAUCUUGGAAUCCAGGCAGAUGCUGGAAAAUGUAUUGAGUUUACUCGGGGUGGUUAGUUUUAUCGGCCUCUUCUCUUGUACGAUGUUGUGCAAUUACUUUAUCAGUGGAAGUAGUUGAAGUUCACAAUUUGGAUUGAGAUUGUCUAAAUUUGUUUGAUCAAACUUUGUUUUGCAAGCUGUUCUGAAAUCCAGAAUGCCAAUAUUGUGGCUUUUGUUUCCCUGAAGUUACACGGUCCCAAGUUGUAUUACAUGCAGUGGUGGUUGUGUGAUGCAGGUUUCAUUUCAGGCCACCUUUGAUUAACCAUCAUGGACUUAUUUUGGACUGAAAAACUACCAUCAGUUAAUUGAAUAAUCUGCAAGGCCCUGUAAAGUUCUCAGGUGAUACCUUAUUUAUUUCCAUUGUUAGCAGUGCAGUUCGGACUGAGAGAUCAACUAUUUGAGCACAACCAAAGCUAUAAAACUCUCAACUUAUGCUUGGGGCUGACCUGACCUCCAACUUGACAUGGUACUCCUGGUGCAUUAAAGUUUUUAUCCUUGGAGACGAGAAAAACUUCAAUGUUAAAUAAACUAAAAAUGAGAUAUAUUGCUUUAGGAGGAGAAUUCCACCGAGUCCAGUGAGUUUCAACCUUAAAAUUAGAUUUGUAACUUUUGCUUGUACUUGAAAUUGCCUUUAUGUAGCAAAGCUGAAACUGACAAUCUAAUAGCUUGAAUUAAUGCUAGCUUGUAACUAUAAGUCUAUAACAGUACACAUUACUCCUAUAUAUGCCUCAGCCUUUUGCUAUCUCUCUCAUCAUUUGACACAACUGAUCUCCACCCAUCUUUGCUUCUUUUCUUCGAGAUUAACAAUGGCCAUGAAAGCCAUGUUCCUGUUAGCCUGUUUGUUUUUAGUCACCAUAAGGGUAUGUGAUACAUCUCUCUCUCUCUCUCUCUAUACACUCAUGCUUACUUUUUCCUGGUUUUUUUUCCAAUUGAUUUUAUAUAAUGUUCUGAAACUCAUCAAUAUAGUUUGAUUUUGUAGGUAUCGUCUAUGGCAGAGGAAGACACGAAGGUAAUUCAAGACACACAAUCUAAUUAGCAACUAUGCUAAGAAUGUCCAUGCCAAACUCCAAGUCAAGGCUCCAUGCCAUACAAAUGUAAUUCAUGCCCCAGUAGAAGCUCCUGUCAAGGCUCCUGCCCAUUCCCUAGCAAAGGCUGAUUAUCCCCAUGCCCCAAGGCUCCAACCUAUCCGCCAACAAAGGCUUACCCUAAUGCCCCAAGUAAGGCUCCUACUCAUCCCCAAAGUCCAGGAAAGGCUCCUGUUCAUUCCCAAACCCCUCAUGCCCCAGGUAAGGCUCCAGCCCAUCCCCCAGCAAAGGCCCUCAUGCCCCAAGUAAGGCUCCUACUCUUCCACAUGCUCCAGGAAAGGCUCCUGCUAUUCCCCAGUAAAGGCUCCUGUCCAUUCCCCGGGAAAGGCUCCAACCCAUCCCCCAGCAAAGGCUUCUACUCAUUCCCCUGAAAAGACUCCUGUUCAAUCCCCAGCAAAGGCUCAUCCUAAUUCCUCAAGUAGGGCUCCAGCUCAUCCCCCGGCAAAGGCCUAUCCUCAUACUCCAAUUAAGGCUCCUACUCUUCCGCAUGCUCCAGAAAAGGCUCCAGCUCAUUCCCCAGCAAAGGAUCAUCCUUAAUCCCCAAGUAAGGCUCCUGCCCAUUCCCCAGCAACGGCUCCUCCUAUUGCCCCAAGUAAGGCUCGUGCUCAUCCCCAAGCUCCAGGAAAUGCUCCUUGCUCAUAUCCCGUUGAAGGCUGAAGCUCCAGUCCCACUAGUGGCUCUUAAACAUGGUACAAAGCCUAUGCAAUGCAAAAAAAAAAAAAAAAAAGGCAAAUUUGCUUCAAUUAUAAUUAGUUGCUGAGCUUGAUGAUUAUGUUCUGACAGGGUUUAUUGGACUCAAUCCUGUUGCUUCAUAUUUGUUAAUUUAUUUAAUUUUUAUGUUGA